Molecule: long non-coding RNA, 1056 nt
Organism: Drosophila simulans
Lineage: Eukaryota; Metazoa; Arthropoda; Insecta; Diptera; Drosophilidae
Exons: 2
Source: RefSeq, a predicted model, not a curated record
UCUAAAAGAAAAUAGAUGGGAAAUUAAAUGGGUUGUUGUGGCAAAAAUGUUUAAAUAUAAGUGAUUAAGGUGGUUUAGUGCAGCUUGUAAAUAGUAACUUAAGAAACAUAAAUAUAUUAUAUACACAUUCAUAUCAUCUUUCAUAAUCUAGUUUUUAUAUUGGAUCUUUUGGUUCGAUGUUGAAAUUAGAGACAUCCAAACAGUCUGGCAACGCCGCACUGUAAGCCUGGCUUGCAGGUUCGUUGAACAAUGGGCAAAAAAUAAAGAGCGAAAAAAAAGAGAAAAAGGUCAUUUUCAGUAGAAGAGCAGGUUUAAGACUUAGACUCUGUAUGUGGAACGGAAUGGUUCUCGGUCUAUUGUGCUCGAGGUAUAAUGACAACAAAAGGAGCUCAGCUUGAUAACAAUGGAGCUGUAUAUUAAUUAAUUCACGAACUGGUGUUAGAAAAAUGUACCAACAAACGUUAAUCUUCAAAGCCAGGAAGCUGCUUUCGAUUAAUAACUAAAAUAUAACACUUAAACAGUUAAUUAUGAAGUUUGGAUUAUUUAAAUUAAUGUUCAUUUACACACUAUCUGGCAAAUUUGACUUGUUGUGAAUUUCAUACCGCAAUUAAGUAAUAGCGUUUUUCGCAUUGGAGCCGGUUUCUCGUAGCCAAUGGCAGCUUAUGUGAGCUGCAGCUUAAAUCCUUCAGUAUUUAAUUAAACAAAAUUAAAAAGUUUAUUCAACUCCGAUCGGUUAUUAAACCAAUAUUUAAUGUGAACUUCAGUUUUAAACGCUUCAAUGCCAUUUUAGCCACUUAGAUGGAACUCCAAAAGUAAAUAUUAUGUGGCGGUGGCAAAUGGAGACAUUAAGAACUAAGGCACAUAAAUACGUAUGCAAAUGUAUAUAUAUACACAAAACAACAUAAAAAACCAGUUUUUUUUAUGAGAGUAAAGUGCUUUUAGUACUUGAGUUGCGAGGGUUGAAGUUGUAUAUGUGAUAAAGUGCUCAUUUAUUGCGCUACUUCCUUUCAAACAAUGCAUUAAAUACGAAAUAAACAAAAAAGAUAUCAGAUUUGC